GGGGGCGACCUGGUUUCGACAGGUGCAGUGAAGCAGGCAGGGCAUGCCGAGCGCCAACGCCUCGUAAAACCGCUGGAAUCGCAAACUUAACUGCGAACGACGAAACGUACGCCCUGGCCGCUUAAUACCGGCCAGCUCCGCACCCGUUUUUCACUGGGUGGGGCCAGAACACCGGCAGCGGAGUCAUAAACAGUGAAUCGGAACCCGCCGGGCCGCUUGGCGGGGACCUAAAUCCAAGGCGGCUGGCGGUGAAGCCCGGGAGCCGGUUCCUGGGUGAGCCGCGAGAGCUGAACAACCGGCUACGCAUGUAGAACUGUUUGUGGAGUGGCAUCUGGACGCGGGUUCGAUUCCCGCCGCCUCCACCA
RNAcentral lists this transfer-messenger RNA (365 nucleotides) under Burkholderiales bacterium. It matches the Rfam family "transfer-messenger RNA". Rfam says of the family: Bacterial tmRNA, also known as 10Sa RNA or SsrA, is named for its dual tRNA and mRNA-like properties. Lineage: Bacteria; Pseudomonadati; Pseudomonadota; Betaproteobacteria; Burkholderiales. The record is from RNAcentral. RNAcentral also lists the same sequence under 1 other name.